This 201-nucleotide unclassified non-coding RNA is filed under the name fungal sp. RNAcentral describes it as "partial internal transcribed spacer region". The record is from RNAcentral. Lineage: Eukaryota; Fungi.
AAGUCGUAACAAUCUUGUUGGUGUCUGAAAGUGUCACAGCUCUGUACGAAUGGCGCAGUCACGAUCGCUAGAGGCGACACGGCCGGCGACCGGGUCACUGGGCGCGAGCCCCCCUCGUCACCUUUGCAUGAAAACGGGCCUGCGCUUAAUUGUGCGGCCACCAAACUCGAACAACUGUUAACAAUGGAUAUCUUGGUUCUC